RNAcentral lists this ribosomal RNA (492 nucleotides) under uncultured bacterium. RNAcentral describes it as "partial 16S ribosomal RNA". It matches the Rfam family "Bacterial small subunit ribosomal RNA", at positions 29 to 507 of the family's 1533-position model. The record is from RNAcentral.
AGUGAACGCUGGCGGUAGGCCUAACACAUGCAAGUCGAACGGCAGCACAGUAAGAGCUUGCUCUUACGGGUGGCGAGUGGCGGACGGGUGAGGAAUACAUCGGAAUCUACUUUUUCGUGGGGGAUAACGUUGGGAAACUUACGCUAAUACCGCAUACGACCUACGGGUGAAAGCAGGGGAUCUUCGGACCUUGCGCGAUUGAAUGAGCCGAUGUCGGAUUAGCUAGUUGGCGGGGUAAAGGCCCACCAAGGCGACGAUCCGUAGCUGGUCUGAGAGGAUGAUCAGCAACACUGGCACUGCGACACGGUCCAGCCUCCUACGGGAGGCAGCAGUGGGGAAUAUUGGACAAUGGGCGCAAGCCUGAUCCAGCCAUGCCGCGUGGGUGAAGAAGGCCUUCGGGUUGUAAAGCCCUUUUGUUGGGAAAGAAACGCAGCAGGUUAAUACCCCGCUGUUCUGACGGUACCCAAAGAAUCAGCACCGGCUAACUUCGUG